Molecule: ribosomal RNA, 394 nt
Filed under: Antheraea roylei (Indain temperate tasar silkmoth)
Lineage: Eukaryota; Metazoa; Arthropoda; Insecta; Lepidoptera; Saturniidae
Description: Antheraea roylii (Indain temperate tasar silkmoth) partial 16S ribosomal RNA
Source: RNAcentral
UGUCCUGAUCCAACAUCGAGGUCGCAAACUUUUUCUCUUAUAAGAACUAAAAGAAAAAAUUACGCUGUUAUCCCUAAGGUAAUUUUUUCUUUUAAUCAAUAAAAUUGGAUCAUAAAAUCACUUAUUUAUGUUUAUUAUUAAAAAAAGUUUAUUUUAUUUUUUUAUCACCCCAACAAAAUAUUAAACAAAAUUUAUAAAUAAAUAAAUUUUAUAAAUAACUUAAAUUUACACUUAAUAUUAAACUCUAUAGGGUCUUCUCGUCUUUUUAAUUUAUUUUAACUUUUUAAUUAAAAAAUUAAUUUCAAUUAAUUAUUUUUGAGACAGAUUAUAUUUCAUCAAAUCCUUCAUACAAGUCACUAAUUAAGAGACUAAUGAUUAUGCUACCUUUGCACAA